UGGCUCAGAUGGUAAAGCAUCUGCCUGCAAUGCAGGAGACCCAGGUUUGAUCCCUGG
Non-coding RNA from Bos taurus (domestic cattle), 57 nucleotides. The record is from Rfam. Lineage: Eukaryota; Metazoa; Chordata; Mammalia; Artiodactyla; Bovidae.